Molecule: ribosomal RNA, 373 nt
Filed under: uncultured organism
Description: partial 16S ribosomal RNA
Rfam family: Bacterial small subunit ribosomal RNA
Source: RNAcentral
GGAGGAUCCAAGCGUUAUCCGGGAAUCAUUGGGUUUAAAGGGUCCGUAGGCGGUUUAGUAAGUCAGUGGGUGAAAGCCCAUCGCUCAACGGGUGGGAACGGGCCAUUGAUACUGCUAGACUUGAAUUAUUAGGAAGUAACUAGAAUAUGUAGUGUAGCGGUGAAAUGCUUAGAGAUCACAUGGAAUACCAAUUGCGAAGGCAGGUUACUACUAAUUGAUUGACGCUGAUGGACGAAAGCGUGGGUAGCGAACAGGAUUAGAUACCCUGGUAGUCCACGCCGUAAACGAAGGAUACUAGCUGUUGGGAGCGAUCUCAGUGGCUAAGCGAAAGUGAUAAGUAUCCCACCUGGGGAGUACGUUCGCAAAGAAAUGA